AGAGUUUGAUCCUGGCUCAGGAUGAACGCUGGUGGCGUGCUUAACACAUGCAAGUCGAACGAAGCAUUUCGGUCUUAAUCUUCGGAAGCGGACUGAUCUGACUGAGUGGCGGACGGGUGAGUAACGCGUGGGUAACCUGCCCUGUACAGGGGGAUAACAGUUAGAAAUGACUGCUAACACCGCAUAAGCGCACAGGAAGGCAUCUUUCGGUGUGAAAAUAUUUAUAGGUACAGGAUGGGCCCGCGUCUGAUUAGCCAGUUGGCAGGGUAACGGCCUACCAAAGCAAUGAUCAGUAGCCGGCCUGAGAGGGUGAACGGCCACAUUGGGACUGAGACACGGCCCAAACUCCUACGGGAGGCAGCAGUGGGGAAUAUUGCACAAUGGGGGAAACCCUGAUGCAGCGACGCCGCGUGAGUGAAGAAGUUAUUCGUAACGUAAAGCUCUAUCAGCAGGGAAGAAAAUGACGGUACCUGACUAAAAAGCCCCGGCUAACUACGUGCCAGCAGCCGCGGCAAUACGUAGGGGGCAAGCGUUUAUCCGGAUUUACUGGGUGUAAAGGGAGUGUAGACGGCACAGCAAGUCUGAUGUGAAAGCCCCGGGGCCCCACCCCCGGAACUGCAUUGGAAAACGCAAGGGCUUGAGGCAAGGGGAGGUAAGCGGAAUUCCUUGUGUAGGGGUGAAAUGCGUAGAUAUUAGGAGGAACCCCAGUGGGGAAGGCGGGCUUACUGGGACCGUAACUGACGUUGAGGCUCGAAAGCGUGGGGAGCAAAACAGGAUUUAGAUACCCUGGUAGUCCACGCCGUAAAACGAUGAUUGCUAGGUGUCGGGGGACCAAGGUCCUUCGGUGCCGCCGCAAACGCAAUAAGUAAUCCACCUGGGGAGUACGUUCGCAAGAAUGAAACUCAAAGGAAUUGACGGGGACCCGCACAAGCGGUGGAGCAUGUGGUUUAAUUCGAAGCAACGCGAAGAACCUUACCUGGUCUUGACAUCCCGAUGACCGCUCUGUAAUGAGAGCUUUUCUUCGGAACAUUGGAGACAGGUGGUGCAUGGUUGUCGUCAGCUCGUGUCGUGAGAUGUUGGGUUAAGUCCCGCAACGAGCGUAACCCCUAUCUUCAGUAGCCAGCAUUUAAGGUGGGCACUCUGGAGAGACUGCCCGGGAUAACCGGGAGGAAGGCGGGGAUGACGUCAAAUCAUCAUGCCCCUUAUGACCAGGGCUACACACGUGCUACAAUGGCGUAACAAAGGGAAGCGAACCCGUGAGGGGGAGCAAAUCCCAAAAAUAACGUCCCAGUUCGGACUGUAGUCUGCAACCCGACUACACGAAGCUGGAAUCGCUAGUAAUCGCGAAUCAGAAUGUCGCGGUGAAUACGUUCCCGGGUCUUGCACUCACCGCCCGUCA
This 1399-nucleotide ribosomal RNA is filed under the name uncultured bacterium. RNAcentral describes it as "bacterial SSU rRNA". It matches the Rfam family "Bacterial small subunit ribosomal RNA". The record is from RNAcentral.